AGAAGGAAUAAAAAUUAAAUCAUUCAUUACUAACAUAAAAACUUAACAAGAGCACUUUCAGUUUAUUUCAGCCAUUUUCAGUUGAAUUAAUUACAAAAUUUAACAACCAAAAUCAUUCUAGAAUAUUUUAUGCAAACUUAAAAACUGUUGUCAUGAUAAUCUGGUUGGCUGCAUAGCUGUAAAGAAUUUCUUACACUUGCAGUCCAUGUAAAAAAUUAAAUUACAUUAAGCAUAUGCUAAUGUAACAAUUUUAAAAAAACAUUAUGAAGUCUAAAGGACUAAGAUCUACCAUGUUGCUCUAUUGACUUUUUGUGUACCAUUGCCAUGAUACUUUUAUCUCUUUUAGUGAUAACACACUAACUAUUUUAUUAUUUUUUAUCUUUGUAUAUGGUUAUAACUCUGCCAUUUUUGUUCCUUAUUAUCAACCUGUUUAAUGAUUCUUGUGCUCUUCCAUUCCACUUCCAGGUUGUAGAUAUUAGCUUUUUAUGAAAAAGGCAGUCUUCAAAAUUUAUUUUUCAAUGUAUUUUCUGUGUUCCUUCAUCCUAAUCUCUAAGCGUUUGCUUGUGCUCCCCAUGAGUUGUAAUGCUGUUUUAAGGUCAUAUUUCUGCAAUUAACUUUAUAAUCCCUGCUUUUCUUUGUGACUUUUAUUAUAUUCUUAUCAUUUCUUAUUUUAUUGAACAACUUGUUCCUCUUUGUUUAUGGUAUUGUUGUUCCUUUUGUUUUUCCCAUGAGCUUUCUUAGUUUAAAUAUAGUUUUGCUAUAAAAUGAUAAAAAACUUCUAAAGUUUUUUUAUUUUAAUUUGUUUUAUUUUCUUUCUUUCUUUGAUCUUAAGAAUAUCUUCCCAUAACUUCAGACUGUUCUUUUACUGUAAUGUUAUUUCUCAAUAAUUUCAGUUUACUCAUUUUAACUCUAUUCUCUUUUUCUUGAUUGCUACAAUGGGUGUUUAGUCUUCAGCCAAGGUCUGAGUGCUGACAUUACAUGUAGCUCCUUUGACCAAUUUAAUAUUAUAAGUGGUGUGCAUGUAUCCUUCCUGAAUAUACUGUAGAAUAUUUGUCUUUAUCUAUUUUGAUUUUGACAUUCCAGUCACUUAUCUCUAUUUUGUUAAAUUUUUCUUGCUUCAAUAUUAAGCCCAGGCUGCUGCCAACUUGAAAAGUACGAGUUUUCACUCACCCUUCUAUGAAAGUUUGAAUCCCGCUCUCCCUCCUGUUCUACUCUUUUUGUUGUAUACAAUUUCAGAUGAAUGUUCAGUUCACGACUAUCCAUCCACCGCAGGAAAGUGCUUACUGCCUCCACAAUAAACUCCAUAUAAAUCAAACACCACUUUUUCUUUUAUUUUAAACACAACUUCCAACUGGAAAUUAAAUACUUGAAAUGAAUAACAACUUACAACUACUAAAUUACAAUAAAAAUCAUGUUCUCUCCUCUUAUUAAUAUCCGUAAGACCAAACUUGUCAUUGUCUCCAGGCAACAAAGGCCAAAUGGCACUCCGCCGACGCAGCUUUUAACAACUGUCCACAUAAACUUAAUAUAGUACUUCAAAUUACCUGGGCAACAAAGACUCUACCAGCCGUAUCUGCAGCUGAGGGAGAGAACACUCUUGCCGUCUCCCGGCAACCCUUUUAUCUGUAAUCUAAUUAGCAUAACACAAAUAAAAGAAAAACAAAAGUUAUUCUAACAAAUUAUACAUAAUAAAUCGGUUCGUUUUUUAUCAAAAACAUUAUAAUAAAUCAUUAAUCGCAAUUUCUUCAAAACAUCAAAUUAAAUAAAUCGAAAUAGAAUAAACACGGAGACAACAGCACCAUUAGUGAACCCAAAAUGGCAACCAUCCCACCAGCAGGCAAGUCAUAUCCAAAUCUUAACAAACUUAUCAUCAACUUAUCUAAUCCAAUCUUUUUGAGCCUUCUGUCCAUUUCUAUGAAUAUGUUUUUGAUGCAUCUUGUAUAUAUUUUUAAUAUGUGUUUUAAAUAUGGUAGUAUUUCACAUUCUUUUCUUACUGUAAGCAUCCCAGUCAUGAGACUAUAAAUUGGCAGGCCUCUAUUUUACUUGUAAGAUUUAAUCAUCAAACCUGAAGUUCAAUUUAUGUGUUACUAUGUAGCUUAGUUCUUUCAAUAGUUCUUCUGCCAUUCUCAACCUGCGGCCCGCGGGCCGCAUGCGGCCCGGCAAGCCUUUACGUGCGGCCCGGAACGCAUGGAC
Molecule: long non-coding RNA, 2193 nt
Filed under: Androctonus crassicauda
Lineage: Eukaryota; Metazoa; Arthropoda; Arachnida; Scorpiones; Buthidae
Source: RNAcentral